GUUAGUGACAGGGGAGCUGCUCUACCUCUGGGGCUACAGCAGUGCAGUGAGCUUUAGUGGAUCAAUACUUUAGUCUUGUCAUGCUAAUUGCUCAUUGGUUGACAUUCAUGAUCCUUCCUUGCUCCCUCCCUAUGUAAACUCUUUACAGCUGGAACAGCGAGAUGCAAAAAUCCUGAGCCUUCAAAGCCAGCUCCUGCAGAAGAGAGAGGGCCUGGCAGCUGAGCUGGAUGCUUCAGGAGCAGAGGAUCUAUCAACUGCAGACCAAGCAUAGGGAGACGCAGGCUGACUUGGAACAGAAACCCACCAGCUCCAGCCACUCCGACAGUACUUGGUAGCCAGACAGUCGGCAGCAGGAAACAUGCCACGGGCCACGAGGCAGGAAAUGACCCAAUCCUUGAGGUCUGGUUUUACACUUGUUCAACUAACCAGAUUACUGCUAGUGACUGACAUCAGUAAGGACACGUUUUCUGUAUUGGGGAAACUGUGUACCUCUUCAUCAGACAAGUAAAUGAGGAGUAAGAUGCCUGCUUCUUGCUAGCAUUUCAUUGUGCCUAAGCAGUGUGCUUGUGGAAACAGUAAGCUCAUUCCUGCACAGUAGGAGGGGACAAUGGACCUCUUUCUCUGGUAAGUAAUUCUUUGUAUUUCUAUAAUGCCUUAUAGUUUCAGGAAGACAUAUCUUCCCACCUCCCUCUCUUCCUUCCUUCCUUCUAUAUUCAUUGAGUAAAUAAGAUGAUCCAGGUUCUGUGCUGGGCACUGAAAAUACAAAGAUAAAUGAAACAUAGCCUCUGUCCUCAAAGAGGCCUCUGGCUAAGAAGGGGAUUUGGAAGAAGAAUAACGAAUUAAUUAUAAUCCUGCGACAUGAGUGCUCUAACCAUAUGUACUACAGAAAGUGCUAAGAACUCAGGAAGCCCUACAGAGAAAGCAACUUUGGGGCCAGAUCUUGAACAGAUGAACAGAUGUUUGCAACUGGAGAAGGGGGCGUGAUGAGAGGGCAUCAGUGAAGUGAUUGCCUCCAGCAGAAGGGACAGCAGCUAUGAAGACAUCAAGGUUGGAUGGACUAUGUGUCAGGUGAGGUGAGGUCAGAAAGGAUCAUAUGUGCCUUUGAGAAAUAAUAGAAUAUAUAUGUAUUAGUCUCUGCCCCCAGUUCCUGGCACAGAGCUCCUGAAUCCUUUGGAAUUUCCUAGGUAAUAGGAGUGACUUUUGUUCUAAGUAAGUGGCUCUUGGUGAGCUCUUGGGUAGCUUCAGGAUGGGGUUAGUGACCAGAAAGACUAAGCCAUGAAUAGACGCUUGGAACUUUCAGUCCCAGCCCCAAUCCUCCAGGAAGAAGAGGGGGUUAGAGGUUAAUUAUUGAUCCUGCAUUAUGUGAGGAAACUCCAUAAAAAUCCCAAAAGUGUGGCGUUCAAAGAGCUUCAGUUAACAUAUCUUUGUGCUGGGAGGGUGGCCGAUCCCAACUCCAUGUGCUCAGGGUCCCUUUCAGACCUCGCCCUAUGUCUCUCUUCAUCUAGCUG
RNAcentral lists this long non-coding RNA (1508 nucleotides) under Sus scrofa (pig). RNAcentral's name for it is "lncRNA (ENSSSCG00070001610.1)". Lineage: Eukaryota; Metazoa; Chordata; Mammalia; Artiodactyla; Suidae. The record is from RNAcentral.